AGUGAACGCUGGCGGUAGGCCUAACACAUGCAAGUCGAACGGCAGCACAGUAAGAGCUUGCUCUUACGGGUGGCGAGUGGCGGACGGGUGAGGAAUACAUCGGAAUCUACUUUUUCGUGGGGGAUAACGUAGGGAAACUUACGCUAAUACCGCAUACGACCUACGGGUGAAAGCAGGGGAUCUUCGGACCUUGCGCGAUUGAAUGAGCCGAUGUCGGAUUAGCUAGUUGGCGGGGUAAAGGCCCACCAAGGCGACGAUCCGUAGCUGGUCUGAGAGGAUGAUCAGCCACACUGGAGCUGAGGCGCGGUCCAGACUCCUACGGGACGCAGCAGUGGGGAAUAUUGGACGAAGGGCGCAAGCCUGAUCCAGCCAUACCGCGUGGGUGAAGAAGGCCUUCGGGUUGUAAAGCCCUUUUGUUGGGAAAGAAAAGCAGCAGGUUAAUACCCCGCUGUUCUGACGGUACCCAAAGAAUAAGCACCGGCUAACUUCGU
RNAcentral lists this ribosomal RNA (491 nucleotides) under uncultured bacterium. Its description in RNAcentral is "partial 16S ribosomal RNA". It matches the Rfam family "Bacterial small subunit ribosomal RNA", at positions 29 to 506 of the family's 1533-position model. The record is from RNAcentral.